UUUGUGUGUUAGUGGAAGCGUCUGGAAAGUCGCACGGUACAGGGUGAUAGUCCCGUACACAAAAAUGCACAUGCUGUGAACUCGAUGAGUAGGGCGGGACACGUGACAUCCUGUCUGAAUAUGGGGGGACCAUCCUCCAAGGCUAAAUACUCCUGACUGACCGAUAGUGAACCAGUACCGUGAGGGAAAGGCGAAAAGAACCCCGGCGAGGGGAGUGAAAUAGAACCUGAAACCGUGUACGUACAAGCAG
This 250-nucleotide ribosomal RNA is filed under the name Yersinia entomophaga. Its description in RNAcentral is "partial 23S ribosomal RNA". It matches the Rfam family "Bacterial large subunit ribosomal RNA", at positions 321 to 573 of the family's 2925-position model. The record is from RNAcentral. Lineage: Bacteria; Pseudomonadati; Pseudomonadota; Gammaproteobacteria; Enterobacterales; Yersiniaceae.